Molecule: ribosomal RNA, 253 nt
Filed under: uncultured bacterium
Lineage: Bacteria
Description: partial 16S ribosomal RNA
Rfam family: Bacterial small subunit ribosomal RNA
Source: RNAcentral
GACGAACCGUCCAAACGUUAUUCGGAAUCACUGGGCUUAAAGGGUGCGUAGGCGGCGCGGAAAGUUGGGUGUGAAAUCCCUCGGCUUAACCGAGGAACGGCGCCCAAAACUACCGUGCUUGAGGGAGAUAGAGGUGAGCGGAACUUAGGGUGGAGCGGUGAAAUGCGUUGAUAUCCUAAGGAACACCGGUGGCGAAAGCGGCUCACUGGAUCUCUUCUGACGCUGAUGCGCGAAAGCGUGGGGAGCAAACGGG